RNAcentral lists this long non-coding RNA (325 nucleotides) under Brassica napus (rape). RNAcentral's name for it is "long non-coding RNA (BNAP_LNC017400)". Lineage: Eukaryota; Viridiplantae; Streptophyta; Magnoliopsida; Brassicales; Brassicaceae. The record is from RNAcentral.
GGGGUGGGGUUUAGGAUUUAGGGUUUAGGGUUUAGGAUUUAGGGUUUAUGGGUGGGGUUUAGGGUUUAGAGUUAAGGGGUGGGGUUUAGGGUUUAGAGUUAAGGGGUGGGGUUUAGAGUUAAGGGGUGGGGUUUAGAGUUUAGGAUUUAGGGUUUAGGGUUUAGAGUUUAGAUUUUAGGGUUUAGAGUUGGGGAGUGGGAUUUUGGGAUAAGAUUUCAGAUUUUGAAAAAUAAAAAAAAUUUAAAUUUUUUAAAAGAUAAAAUGCUAUUUUGGUCAUUUUAGUUUUUGAGGGCUAUUUUGUGACAUAAACUUAGAAAUGUGCUAU